AACGAACGCUGGCGGCAUGCCUAACACAUGCAAGUCGAACGAGACCUUCGGGUCUAGUGGCGCACGGGUGCGUAACGCGUGGGAACCUGCCCUUAGGUUCGGAAUAACUCCCCGAAAGGGGUGCUAAUACCGGAUAAUGUCUUCGGACCAAAGAUUUAUCGCCUUUGGAUGGGCCCGCGUUGGAUUAGCUAGUUGGUAGGGUAAAAGCCUACCAAGGCGACGAUCCAUAGCUGGUCUGAGAGGAUGAUCAGCCACACUGGGACUGAGACACGGCCCAGACUCCUACGGGAGGCAGCAGUGGGGAAUAUUGGACAAGGGGCGAAAGCCUGAUACAGCAAUGCCGCGUGAGUGAUGAAGGCCUUAGGGUUGUAAAGCUCUUUUACCCGGGAUGAUAAUGACAGUACCGGGAGAAUAAGCGCCGGCUAACUCCGUG
Molecule: ribosomal RNA, 433 nt
Filed under: uncultured bacterium
Lineage: Bacteria
Description: partial 16S ribosomal RNA
Rfam family: Bacterial small subunit ribosomal RNA
Source: RNAcentral